RNAcentral lists this ribosomal RNA (253 nucleotides) under uncultured prokaryote. Its description in RNAcentral is "partial 16S ribosomal RNA". It matches the Rfam family "Bacterial small subunit ribosomal RNA", at positions 524 to 776 of the family's 1533-position model. The record is from RNAcentral.
UACGUAGGGUGCAAGCGUUGUCCGGAAUUACUGGGUGUAAAGGGUCCGCAGGCGGGCAAGCAAGUCGGUGGUGAAAUCUCACGGCUCAACCGUGAAACUGCCUUCGAUACUGCUUGUCUUGAGUUCGAGAGAGGAUGAUGGAAUUCAUGGUGUAGCGGUGAAAUGCGUAGAGAUCAUGAAGAACACCAGUAGCGAAGGCGGUCAUCUGGCUCGAUACUGACGCUCAGGGACGAAAGCGUGGGGAGCAAACAGG